Molecule: long non-coding RNA, 288 nt
Filed under: Vicia faba (fava bean)
Lineage: Eukaryota; Viridiplantae; Streptophyta; Magnoliopsida; Fabales; Fabaceae
Source: RNAcentral
AUGCCCGUGUUUCAUCACGCCAGUCAUCACAAGGCCAUGCCUCAAUAUCAAAUCGAUGCUGGAAACAAAAUAAUGCAAACAUUGAUAGAUGCAGAUGUGAAUAAAGAUGGUUGUUAUACAAAGGAUGAGAUCAAGAAAGCUCUAAAAGAUUUAGGUUCCUACAUCCCUGGAUGGAGAGCAAAUGCUUGCCUCAAGAAACUUGAUGCUGACAAAGAUGGCCAAAUUAGUGGUGAGGAAUUUGACAAUCUAGUUGAUUAUCUUCUUGAACGAGGUUUUGGAAAGAAGUAA